Molecule: non-coding RNA, 542 nt
Organism: Pelobates cultripes (western spadefoot toad)
Lineage: Eukaryota; Metazoa; Chordata; Amphibia; Anura; Pelobatidae
Source: the annotation of a GenBank genome assembly
CUUCUAAAGUCUAACUAGCUUAGUAAUAUUAAUUAGUUGGGAUAAGAGCAAGUUAGAAGUAGAAAAAUCAUUCCCCAGUAGGUACCCUAAAGCAGACUACACCACCUCCUGCUGCUCCAAUGGCAGCCCCCCUAUAUGGAAAGUCCUCCAAACAAGUAGGCAGCAAAACUAAAAAUAAAGCGGACCAGUAAGAUGGAGCAUGCAUGCGGGUAAACAAUAUACUGCUUGUGCUAGCUAUAUCACACCACUGCUACUAGAAAGGAGUACCCCGUACAGAGAAUACUAUGUAGCAGCGAUGGGACUGAUCAGGAGGGUAGAGCACGAAUACUGCUGGAUGGUACACUGAUAUCUGUUGGUGCUUACUAGACCACCCCCUCUGCUUCAAGGAAGCCCCCCAAAAUAAAAUAAAUCAGAGUCUAACUGGUACCACAGUCAAUUCUAUCUCUCUAUCUAUCUCCGUCUAUCUAUCUAUUAUCUAUCUAUCUCCGUCUAUCUAUCUAUCUAUCUCUGUCUAUCUAUCUAUUAUCUAUCUACCUAUCUAG